Molecule: ribosomal RNA, 500 nt
Filed under: uncultured dinoflagellate
Lineage: Eukaryota; Dinophyceae
Description: SSU rRNA
Rfam family: Eukaryotic small subunit ribosomal RNA
Source: RNAcentral
AUGUUCAGAUUAGCCAUGCAUGUCUCAGUAUAAGCUUCUAUACGGCGAAACUGCGAAUGGCUCAUUAAAACAGUUAUAGUUUAUUUGGUGGUCAGCAAUUACAUGGAUAACCGUGGUAAUUCUAGAGCUAAUACAUGCGCCCAAACCCGACUUCGUGGAAGGGUUGUGUUUAUUAGAUACAGAACCAACCCAGGCUCCGCCUGGCCUUGAGGUGAUUCAUAAUAACCGAACGAAUCGCAUGGCUAUGCCGGCGAUAGACCAUUCAAGUUUCUGACCUAUCAGCUAUCGUCGGUAGGGUAUUGGCCUACCGUGGCAAUGACGGGUAACGGAGAAUUAGGGUUCGAUUCCGGAGAGGGAGCCUGAGAAACGGCUACCACAUCUAAGGAAGGCAGCAGGCGCGCAAAUUACCCAAUCCUGACGCAGGGAGGUAGUGACAAGAAAUAACAAUACAGGGCAUACAUGUCUUGUAAUUGGAAUGAGUAAACUUUAAAUCACCUUAC